Non-coding RNA from Callithrix jacchus (white-tufted-ear marmoset), 46 nucleotides. The record is from Rfam. NCBI's taxonomy places the organism in Eukaryota, Metazoa, Chordata, Mammalia, Primates, Cebidae.
UCAAAGGCUCUGUUAAGAGCCACCCAUCUGGUCGGAAAAGUGGCUG